AUUACAAAGAAAAAUUAAAAGUCUUUUCUUAAACUCUGAAGCCUUGCUGAUGUUUUUGGAUUUCGUGAGGAAGGGUAUUCCAAAGACAUAUGGAAAAAUUGCCUUUCAAUAAAAAAAUACAUCUGGGUAGUAUUCCCGUAGGCUUUUGUCAAUCUUCUACAUUAUUUUGGGAGAUAACUUCAGUUGUGAGAUGAUCUUUGGUGCUUUAGUGUUGUCCGUCGGUGUAUAAGAUGAAGACUAUACUAAUGAAUAAAUAUUUUUCGUGAAAAAUUA
Long non-coding RNA from Stomoxys calcitrans (stable fly), 273 nucleotides. RefSeq lists it as uncharacterized. NCBI's taxonomy places the organism in Eukaryota, Metazoa, Arthropoda, Insecta, Diptera, Muscidae. The record is from RefSeq and is a predicted model, not a curated record. The transcript is spliced from 2 exons.